GUUGCCUAAGUUGUUUUUCAGGAACUUGGCAGUAGCUUAAAUUGGUUGAAAUUAACUGACCCUUCACUUGGGCUUAUACAAGUGUCUGACUUUUUGAUGUCAGAGGGUCCAACACUUCACCCUCAGAGAUGAGAAUAUUGCCAUUCCCUGAACAUACAUUCUAGGAAGAACCAUGAAGCUUGAUUACACUUGCAGAGGCCACUAAGUCCUUCAUUCUUCCUCAACUCCAAUCAGCUUUUCCCAUGUUUGAGAGCCUUUUGUUUCUGUAUCCCCAUAAAUAUCCCUAAAUCCUGUUCAAGGGGAGGUAGAUUUGAGAAUUGGGGUUUCCACCUUCUCACAGUUGGCCACCUCAUGAGUAAACUUUCUUCUUCGCCAAACUUGUCAUGUACCACAAGAUGAACAAAAGGGGCCUGGUUCAAUAAGGACUUUUGCUGAGAUGAGGGUAGACUGGAGAUCUGAAGUAAGCCCUGGGGAAAGGCACUGAGGUGUCUGUGCAGGAGGGAUUAUGUGAUCAGAUUUACCUUUAUUUAUUUAUUUAUUUGGUGCCAGGGAUUGAACUCUAUUUAUUCAUUUUUAAUUUUUUUUAAUAUUUAUUUUUUAGUUUUAGGUGGACAUAAUAUCUUUAUUUUGUUUUUAUGUGGUGCUAAGACUCGAACCCAGUACCUCACACAUGCUAGGCAAGCGCGAUACCACUUGAG
Molecule: long non-coding RNA, 698 nt
Filed under: Marmota monax (woodchuck)
Lineage: Eukaryota; Metazoa; Chordata; Mammalia; Rodentia; Sciuridae
Source: RNAcentral